Molecule: ribosomal RNA, 499 nt
Filed under: uncultured bacterium
Lineage: Bacteria
Description: bacterial SSU rRNA
Rfam family: Bacterial small subunit ribosomal RNA
Source: RNAcentral
GCGGCGGACGGGUGAGUAACGCGUGGGUAACCUACCCCAAAGUCCGGGAUAACAGCGGGAAACCGCUGCUAAUACCGGAUGCCUUUACCUUGGGGCAUCUUGAGGUAAAGAAAGGCAACGCUUUGGGAUGGGCCCGCGUCCCAUUAGCUAUUUGGUGAGGUAACGGCUCACCAAGGCGACGAUGGGUAGCCGGCCUGAGAGGGUGGACGGCCACACUGGGACUGAGACACGGCCCAGACUCCUACGGGAGGCAGCAUUAGGGAAUAUUGCACAAUGGACGGAAGUCUGACGCAGCGACGCCGCGUGAGCGAUGAAGGUCUUCGGAUCGUAAAGCUCUGUCCUUGGGGAAGAAGGCGAAAGCUUGACGGUACCCAAGAAGAAAGCCCCGGCUAACUACGUGCCAGCAGCCGCGGUAAUACGUAGGGGGCGAGCGUUGUCCGGAAUUACUGGGCGUAAAGGGUGCGUAGGCGGCCCUUUAAGUCGGAUGUGAAAGCCCGCG